This 454-nucleotide ribosomal RNA is filed under the name uncultured bacterium. RNAcentral describes it as "bacterial SSU rRNA". It matches the Rfam family "Bacterial small subunit ribosomal RNA", at positions 340 to 786 of the family's 1533-position model. The record is from RNAcentral.
UACGGAAGGCAGCAGUGGGGAAUAUUGCACAAUGGGCGCAAGCCUGAUGCAGCCAUGCCGCGUGUAUGAAGAAGGCCUUCGGGUUGUAAAGUACUUUCAGUCGUGAGGAAGGUGUUAAGGUUAAUAACCUUAGCAAUUGACGUUAGCGACAGAAGAAGCACCGGCUAACUCCGUGCCAGCAGCCGCGGUAAUACGGAGGGUGCGAGCGUUAAUCGGAAUUACUGGGCGUAAAGGGCACGCAGGCGGUUAAUUAAGUUGGAUGUGAAAUCCCCGGGCUUAACCUGGGAAUGGCAUUCAAGCUGGUUAGCUAGAGUCUUGUAGAGGGGGUAGAAUUCCAUGUGUAGCGGUGAAAUGCGUAGAGAUGUGGAGGAAUACCGGUGGCGAAGGCGGCCCCUGGACAAAGGACUGACGCUCAUGUGCGAAAGCGUGGGGAGCAAACGAGGGAUUAGAUACC